RNAcentral lists this ribosomal RNA (301 nucleotides) under uncultured bacterium. RNAcentral describes it as "partial 16S ribosomal RNA". It matches the Rfam family "Bacterial small subunit ribosomal RNA", at positions 509 to 807 of the family's 1533-position model. The record is from RNAcentral.
CAGUAGCCGCGGUAAUACGGAGGGCGCGAGCGUUACCCGGAUUUACUGGGCGUAAAGGGCGUGUAGGCGGCCUGGGGCGUCCCAUGUGAAAGGCCACGGCUCAACCGUGGAGGAGCGUGGGAUAGGCUCAGGCUAGAGGGUGGGAGAGGGUGGUGGAAUUCCCGGAGUAGCGGUGAAAUGCGCAGAUACCGGGAGGAGCGCCGAUGGCGAAGGCAGCCACCUGGUCCACUUCUGACGCUGAGGCGCGAAAGCGUGGGGAGCAAACCGGAUUAGAUACCCCUGUAGUCCCUGUCUCUUAUAC